Molecule: ribosomal RNA, 385 nt
Filed under: uncultured bacterium
Lineage: Bacteria
Description: bacterial SSU rRNA
Rfam family: Bacterial small subunit ribosomal RNA
Source: RNAcentral
GACGAACGCUGGCGGCGUGCUUAACACAUGCAAGUCGAGCGGUAAGGCCCUUUCGGGGGUACGACGAGCGGCGAACGGGUGAGUAACACGUGGGUGACCUGCCCUUAGCUCUGGGAUAAGCCUGGGAAACUGGGUCUAAUACCGGAUAUGACUCCAUGACGCAUGUUGUGGGGUGGAAAGCCUUGUGCGGCUAGGGAUGGGCCCGCGGCCUAUCAGCUUGUUGGUGGGGUGAUGGCCACCAAGGCGACGACGGUAGCCGCCUGAGAGGCGACCGGCCACACUGGGACUGAGACACGGCCCAGACUCCUACGGGAGGCAGCAGUGGGGAAUCUUGCGCAAUGGGCGAAAGCCUGACGCAGCGACGCCGCGUGGGGAGUGACGGCCU